Molecule: long non-coding RNA, 848 nt
Filed under: Panax ginseng (ginseng)
Lineage: Eukaryota; Viridiplantae; Streptophyta; Magnoliopsida; Apiales; Araliaceae
Description: long non-coding RNA (PGIN_LNC018047)
Source: RNAcentral
AAGGAUAUUCGUGUAUUCAUCAAUGGUCAUGAUCAUGCCAACAACUGUCCAUCAAUGCACUACGGGCCAAUGAGGACUUUUACCACAUCAUUUGUAACAUUACGGUCAUGAUUAUACCGAAUAAUCCCUGGUCAUAAUCAUACCGAGUCCAUCUAUGCACUACAGGUCAUAGAUGAUUUCAAUAAAAUAUAAACAUGAGGAUGAUGACAAUGAUAUAAGAAUUCAAUAAAACAAGUUCAAGAAUUAAUUUAUCCAGAAACUAAUAACGUCCAAAUUGUCAACAUGAUACUUCUUUGUAGAGUAAAAUUCAAGAAUGCUCAGAAGAAUAUUUCCAUGAAAAGAUACUGGAUGAAGCGCAAAUAUCAAGGAUAUUCCACUAAUUUCAUGGAGUAUAGAAGUCAAAACUUUAACCAAAUGAGUAUAAUAAAGAAUGGAAUAACAAAAGAAAUCACCAGGCAUGUGAUAGACCGCACAUGCAGGUUAUUCCAACAGAAUAAUAAAUAACGGAACCAGGUCCAACGUAAAAGGCACAGACAGGAUAUUCCAACAGAAUAAUAAAGACGGAACCAGAUCCAGCGUAAAACGCACAGACAGGAUAUUCCAACAGAAUAAUAAAGACGGAACCAGGUCCGGCGUAAAACGCAUAGACAGAAUAUUCCAACAGAAUAAUAAAGAAUGGAAUAACAAAAGAAUUUCACCAAGUAUAGGGUAGCCCGCGUAUACAGUUUAUUCCAACAAAAUAAUAAAGAAUGGGAUAACAGAAGUUCUCUUCAUGAAUACAAAAGAAAUAAUACCCCUUACCUUAUAAAGAAGAAACUGGAUAUAGAAGUAGUGAAGUAGCAGAAUAN